RNAcentral lists this ribosomal RNA (173 nucleotides) under Scinax humilis (Rio Babi snouted treefrog). RNAcentral's name for it is "partial 16S large subunit ribosomal RNA". Lineage: Eukaryota; Metazoa; Chordata; Amphibia; Anura; Hylidae. The record is from RNAcentral.
ACGUGAUCUGAGUUCAGACCGGAGCAAUCCAGGUCAGUUUCUAUCUAUAAAGAGCUCUUUCUAGUACGAAAGGACCGAAAAAGCAUGGCCAAUACUUUAUGCAAGCCAUCAUUAAAAAUUUAUGAUUUAAACUUAAUAAAUAAUUCUCCUAUGACCUUCCCCAAGAAAAGAGA